Molecule: small nuclear RNA, 20 nt
Filed under: Arabidopsis thaliana (thale cress)
Lineage: Eukaryota; Viridiplantae; Streptophyta; Magnoliopsida; Brassicales; Brassicaceae
Description: snRNA_16039
Source: RNAcentral
UGCAGCAUCAUCAAGAUUCU